AUGGCAAGUUCCAGCUCGCAAGGACGGCGGGGGAAGGAAACAGCGGACGAGUUGUUGGCACGGCUGAACCUACAGGAGGAGGAGGAUGAUGACUUUGUUUGGGAAGAAGAGCUGCCGGACUUGGGAGAGCCGGCGAAGUGGCUAGCUAUAGCCCGAGUGCAUACACCAAAAACUUUUAGCCCUAAUGCUCUGUACGGGGACAUGCGUGCGGCGUAGAAUCCCGCGAGGACUGUGGUUUGGAGGAAGAUCAAGGAUAAUCUGUUCACGGUCCAAUUUGUUUGUCUUGGUGAUUGG
This 294-nucleotide ribosomal RNA is filed under the name Triticum aestivum (bread wheat). RNAcentral's name for it is "partial small subunit ribosomal RNA". The record is from RNAcentral. Lineage: Eukaryota; Viridiplantae; Streptophyta; Magnoliopsida; Poales; Poaceae.